This is a long non-coding RNA of Arabidopsis thaliana (thale cress), 212 nucleotides long. RefSeq annotates it as other RNA. The record is from RefSeq. Lineage: Eukaryota; Viridiplantae; Streptophyta; Magnoliopsida; Brassicales; Brassicaceae. The transcript has a single exon.
AAGGGGAAAAACAUAGAGACAUUUGGACCGUUUAUUAACGGACAUAAUAUAAAAGUCCAAAACCUUCUUUAUAACGUACAUCGAAAUAUAUAAAAAUAAAGAGGAACUAUUUAUUAUAUAGUUUUGCUACAAAAUUCGACGACGAUUCCUCAUUUAUCUCUGUCUCUCUCUCUUUCUCUCUUACUUGGGCCUACGUGCUGUCUCCUUAGGCC